UUUAUGGAGAGUUUGAUCCUGGCUCAGGAUGAACGCUGGCGGCGUGCCUAAUACAUGCAAGUCGAGCGAACGGACGAGAAGCUUGCUUCUCUGAUGUUAGCGGCGGACGGGUGAGUAACACGUGGAUAACCUACCUAUAAGACUGGGAUAACUUCGGGAAACCGGAGCUAAUACCGGAUAAUAUUUUGAACCGCAUGGUUCAAAAGUGAAAGACGGUCUUGCUGUCACUUAUAGAUGGAUCCGCGCUGCAUUAGCUAGUUGGUAAGGUAACGGCUUACCAAGGCAACGAUGCAUAGCCGACCUGAGAGGGUGAUCGGCCACACUGGAACUGAGACACGGUCCAGACUCCUACGGGAGGCAGCAGUAGGGAAUCUUCCGCAAUGGGCGAAAGCCUGACGGAGCAACGCCGCGUGAGUGAUGAAGGUCUUCGGAUCGUAAAACUCUGUUAUUAGGGAAGAACAUAUGUGUAAGU
This 472-nucleotide ribosomal RNA is filed under the name Staphylococcus aureus. RNAcentral describes it as "bacterial SSU rRNA". It matches the Rfam family "Bacterial small subunit ribosomal RNA", at positions 1 to 462 of the family's 1533-position model. The record is from RNAcentral. Lineage: Bacteria; Bacillati; Bacillota; Bacilli; Caryophanales; Staphylococcaceae.